This is a long non-coding RNA of Erinaceus europaeus (western European hedgehog), 508 nucleotides long. RefSeq lists it as uncharacterized. The transcript is spliced from 4 exons. NCBI's taxonomy places the organism in Eukaryota, Metazoa, Chordata, Mammalia, Eulipotyphla, Erinaceidae. The record is from RefSeq and is a predicted model, not a curated record.
GACACAAGUAUGAACAAGUGCAGAAGAAAGACCAUGUAGAGAGACAAAUAGAUGGUCAUCUAUAACCAAAAGAGAAACCCAAGAAACAUCUAAUCUUGCUUUUGGACUUCAAGCCUCCAGAAAUGACCUGCCCUGUCCCUGAGGUAGCACCACUCCUUGCUGGUGGAAUAAAGGAGGUGCUUCCUUGGUCCUAGAGGGAGCCAAGUUGGAACAGUUCAUGGUGUUCUACAAACAGAUGUCCGUCUCUGAAGGCAAACCUUAGAGUGAAUGAACUUUAUACUGGCCAUCUGGAAACAAGCCACAGAUGACUACCUGUCCUGGGAAAGGUCCUUGAAAGCAGUGACAAUAAAGACCCAGAAACAGAAAACAACCCAACAGGAAGGAAGUGAAGGACAACUACAGAAUGAUUUUACUCAUGAGUAGAAUAAAGAGAAUUGAAACACAUAAACUUGAGUAUAUAUUCAGCUCGUAUCUGUGACCUUGGGAGAACUAUGAUGGUCACUGCUGG